This 896-nucleotide ribosomal RNA is filed under the name uncultured bacterium. Its description in RNAcentral is "bacterial SSU rRNA". It matches the Rfam family "Bacterial small subunit ribosomal RNA", at positions 9 to 951 of the family's 1533-position model. The record is from RNAcentral.
GAGUUUGAUCCUGGCUCAGGAUGAACGCUGGCGGUAUGCUUAACACAUGCAAGUCGAACGAAAGUUUUUAACUUUAGUGGCGAACGGGUGAGUAAUACGUGAGAAUCUGCCCUUAGGAAAAGAAUAACUUCUGGAAACGGUUGCUAAAUCUUUAUAUGUCGAGAGAUGAAAUAGCUUAGGCUGCCGAAGGAUGAGCUCACGCCUGAUUAGCUUGUUGGUGAGGUAAUGGCUCACCAAGGCCACGAUCAGUAGCUGGUUUGAGAGAACGAUCAGCCACACUGGGACUGAGACACGGCCCAGACUCCUCCGGGAGGCAGCAGUGAGGAAUUUUCCGCAAUGGGCGAAAGCCUGACGGAGCAAUACCGCGUGAGGGAUGAAGGAUUUUGGUCUGUAAACCUCUUUUCUCAAGAAAGAAGUUCUGACGGUACUUGAGGAAUAAGCAUCGGCUAACUCCGUGCCAGCAGCCGCGGUAAUACGGGGGAUGCAAGCGUUAUCCGGAAUGAUUGGGCGUAAAGCGCCUGUAGGUUGUUUAUUAAGUCCGUUGUUAAAGCCUAGGGCUUAACCCUAGAAAAGCAAUGGAAACUAGUAGACUAGAGUAUGGCAGGGGUAGAGGGAAUUUCUAGUGUAGCGGUGAAAUGCGUAGAUAUUAGAAAGAACACCGGUGGCGAAAGCGCUCUACUGGACCAUUACUGACACUCAGAGGCGAAAGCUAGGGUAGCAAAAGGGAUUAGAUANCCCUGUAGUCCUAGCCGUAAACGAUGGAUACUAGAUGUUGUGCAUUAUGUACAGUAUCGUAGCUAACGCGUUAAGUAUCCCGCCUGGGGAGUACGCUCGCAAGGGUGAAACUCAAAGGAAUUGACGGGGGCCGCACAAGCGGUGGAGCAUGUGGUUUAAUU